This 630-nucleotide ribosomal RNA is filed under the name uncultured bacterium. RNAcentral's name for it is "bacterial SSU rRNA". It matches the Rfam family "Bacterial small subunit ribosomal RNA", at positions 59 to 688 of the family's 1533-position model. The record is from RNAcentral.
CAGUCGAACGAGAAUCUGCGGAAAGAGGAUUCGUCCAAUUGAAGCAGAGGACAGUGGCGGACGGGUGAGUAACGCGUGAGGAACCUGCCUUUCAGAGGGGGACAACAGUUGGAAACGACUGCUAAUACCGCAUGACAUAUAGAUGUCGCAUGGCAUUUAUAUCAAAGAUUUAUCGCUGAAAGAUGGCCUCGCGUCUGAUUAGCUAGUUGGUGAGGUAACGGCCCACCAAGGCGACGAUCAGUAGCCGGACUGAGAGGUUGAACGGCCACAUUGGGACUGAGAUACGGCCCAGACUCCUACGGGAGGCAGCAGUGGGGAAUAUUGGGCAAUGGGCGCAAGCCUGACCCAGCAACGCCGCGUGAAGGAAGAAGGCUUUCGGGUUGUAAACUUCUUUUGUCAGGGACGAGUAGAAGACGGUACCUGACGAAUAAGCCACGGCUAACUACGUGCCAGCAGCCGCGGUAAUACGUAGGUGGCAAGCGUUGUCCGGAUUUACUGGGUGUAAAGGGCGUGUAGCCGGGAGGGCAAGUCAGAUGUGAAAUCCACGGGCUCAACUCGUGAACCGCAUUUGAAACUACUCUUCUUGAGUAUCGGAGAGGCAAUCGGAAUUCCUAGUGUAGCGGUGAAAUG